Molecule: non-coding RNA, 31 nt
Filed under: Homo sapiens (human)
Lineage: Eukaryota; Metazoa; Chordata; Mammalia; Primates; Hominidae
Source: RNAcentral
UACAGAAAAGUCUCAACAGCCGAAUGGUAUU